Gymnogyps californianus (California condor) is the source of this 2197-nucleotide long non-coding RNA. RefSeq lists it as uncharacterized. The transcript has 4 exons. The record is from RefSeq and is a predicted model, not a curated record. Lineage: Eukaryota; Metazoa; Chordata; Aves; Accipitriformes; Cathartidae.
UUUGUUCUGGAGGAAUGAGUUUGUAGCACAAGAAGUGCUGUGAGCACCGAGUUUGUUCCUCUCCCUUGCUGUUUCCUUUCCUUAGAGUGUGUGGGAAGGUGUUGACUGUUAGUAGGUCUAGUUCCUGCUCUUCCUUUAAACUGGGUCAUUGCAGUUUACCCUCCUACCUUCUAGAAACCCAGAGGCAUAAAACAGAACAAACAGUAAUGCCUUGAAAUGCUACAGAGCUCUUGGAAACCAGAAGGGUGGCACCUGGCUGCUGGAGCGUGUCUUGUGUGGACUUGGAGAAGAGAAGUCUGCUGAAAUGUUGGGCAAACAGAGCCUGGUCUAACCCAGGCAGUUUUGAGAUGUCUGUUAUCUUCGUCAUCCUUUGGAUCACACCUUCGCUAAAGGGAGGUGAAGCUCGGGCAUAUGGAUGGUGCUUGCAGAGAUGCAUCUUCAUCUAUGAUAACGUUUACUUUAUAACACAUACUGGAAAGGCUGUUAGUACAGAAGAAUAUGGAGAUCCAGGACUCUAAUGCACGUGGCAUGUAUUUUCCAUUGGAAGGGAGUGUUGCAAUUUCCAGCUAAAGUUACUGUGCUUUUGUGGCUUGCCAAGUCCUUGCGUGCAGUUUGCCAUACUCUGCUUUCUCAGUACCACACGGCAAAGGGAUAUGUCCACCCCAGCUUCUCACCUGCACUGUGCCGGCCACGGGGAUCCCUUGAGCUCCCAGAGCUGUGUGUCCCCUCGUGGUGGGGACAGAGUGGAGACAGAUCUUGGCAAUGCCACCCGGUGAGAGCAGGAGGGGCCACAUUUGGCCAGCUUUGAGCCCCGUGAUGGAGCUAGCCUGGCCCUGGGGACCAUGGACCUUGGGGAUCCACCACCCCCACGAAGAAGGGAGUAUUGAGCUUCCUUGGAAGUAGGAGACCAUGAUUAUCUCACUCCUUCUGCACUGAUUUCUUCACUACCCCUGGGGGUACAGCCCCAGGGUUUGGCCUUGGAGCAUGGUGCAUCCAGCAUGUCUGCAGAGCACGGUUAAGCCCAGAGCAGGAGAGAGGAGCUGCCCAGGGCAAAAUAGAUGUAGCACCAGCACAAGCAGUGAUGGGUGGCUUUGUUGCUCUCCAUGCUUUCCCUUCCCUGCCUCCCAACACUUUGCGGAGUUGUAAAGGUCAGAGUACUUAAACUCACCAAAGGAAAUGCAGUAUGUAGUAUUUGACUUUUCAGAAAUACAGCGUGGUGGCAAUUGUUAAACCUGCUUCCCUUCAUGCACCAACAGCCCCUGCGAAAUAACAUGUUAACAGAAUAUAUUUAGAAGCAGAUGGUGAAGCAGAAAGCGAGCACUGGAGAGCAGCUGAGUGCUGCAACCGGAGCGCUGUGGGCAGGUCUCUGCAAAGCUGGAGGUGAGCGGCCAGGGCUGUCCUGCAACCUUGGGGCAGGGCGUGUGGAUGGGGUACAAGGCUGUCUGCAUACAGGGAGGGGAAGGAGGUGACAGUGCUGGUAGGAAUGUAUCUACAAGGGUCUCUUGUGCUGCCUGUCCCUCGAUACCUGCCCUCACCUCCCCAGCAGAGCGUUGGCCAGCCCAGGCAGCGCUCCCUGAAACCAGCCCAGGGUAUUGGUUGCUUUGGGUUGGUUGGUGUUGACACAACCUCCAGGUACAUCCUGCUGGUCUGAUCUGAAGAUGGGAACCCACCAGACUCCUGUUACAAUGUACGAAGUGGGCAAUACCAGUCAAUCACACAUCUGGAUUAUUUAAAGAGUUAGAGUUACAGGUAUGUUUUCAGCUGGCCAACAGUGGCAUCUGUAUUUUGGCAGCACAAAUGCAAAUUGUAAUCCUGCCAAUGAGACAAAUCUUUGCGUGCGCCCUGGUGCGUUCACAAGUACAAGUCUACUCGAGACAUUCCUGGUUGCAACUGUGAAAUAAUCAAUGAUUGCUUUUUGAAAGUCACAAGAUUCUGGCUGAUUUGUCUUUUCCCACGGAAAAAUACUAGCAUAUAUGAUCUCAGUAUGUGGCGGUAGCAAUGGAGGAGCUAUCGACAGAAAUAGAGAAUACUCCUGAGGAUGCUUGCUAGCUGGCAGCUGAAAACUUGUCUGCUGAGCUCCCUUUUGGGUAACCGAAGGAGACUGGCUGUUAGCAAUGGGAAUUUGAAACUGUACCCAAGAACUGCACUGAGUGCUCUUCCUCCAGUGUGGGAAUACCAACUGGCUGCCUGUUUUAGC